UACUCUUGAAAGUUAUAUAGCAGGGUUUGG
Molecule: non-coding RNA, 30 nt
Filed under: Rattus norvegicus (Norway rat)
Lineage: Eukaryota; Metazoa; Chordata; Mammalia; Rodentia; Muridae
Source: RNAcentral